AGUGAACGCUGGCGGUAGGCCUAACACAUGCAAGUCGAACGGCAGCACAGUAAGAGCUUGCUCUUACGGGUGGCGAGUGGCGGACGGGUGAGGAAUACAUCGGAACCUACUUUUUCGUGGGGGUUAACGUAGGGAAACUUACGCUAAUACCGCAUACGACCUACGGGUGAAAGCGUGGGAUCUUCGGACCUUGUGCGAUUGAAUGAGCCGAUGUCGGAUUAGCUAGUUGGCGGGGUAAAGGCCCACCAAGGCGACGAUCCGUGGCUGGUCUGGGAGGACGAUCAGCCACACUGGAGCUGAGACACGGACCAGACUCCUACGAGAGGGAGCAGUGGGGAAUAUUAGGCAAUGGGCGCAAGCCUGAUCCAGCCAUACCGCGUGUGUGAAGAAGGCGUUCGGGGUGUAAAGCCCUUUUGUUGGGAAAGAAAAGCAGCAGGUUAAUACCCCGCUGUUCUGACGGUAACCAAAAAAUAAGCACCGGCUAACUUCGUG
Molecule: ribosomal RNA, 492 nt
Filed under: uncultured bacterium
Lineage: Bacteria
Description: partial 16S ribosomal RNA
Rfam family: Bacterial small subunit ribosomal RNA
Source: RNAcentral